GUGGGUGUAGCUCAGUUUGGUAGAGCACUAGGUUGUGGCCCUGGUUGCCGCGGGUUCAAGUCCCGUCACUCACCCCA
RNAcentral lists this transfer RNA (77 nucleotides) under Pseudomonadota bacterium. Its description in RNAcentral is "Proteobacteria bacterium (groundwater metagenome) tRNA-His". It matches the Rfam family "tRNA". From Rfam's summary of the family: Transfer RNA (tRNA) molecules are approximately 80 nucleotides in length. Their secondary structure includes four short double-helical elements and three loops (D, anti-codon, and T loops). Lineage: Bacteria; Pseudomonadati; Pseudomonadota. The record is from RNAcentral.